Molecule: long non-coding RNA, 1499 nt
Organism: Oxyura jamaicensis (ruddy duck)
Lineage: Eukaryota; Metazoa; Chordata; Aves; Anseriformes; Anatidae
Exons: 5
Source: RefSeq, a predicted model, not a curated record
CCGGACCCUGGUUGUGAGCAGUGCCAGUUGAGCAGAACAGCUUUUGUCUUCCCUCAAACAGGCUGUAAUGCUGCCUCCCUGCCUCUCCGAUGUACGCUUGAAUCUUGGAUGAAGAUAAUGCAUCACCAUCUACUGGCGGCCAAAAGGAUAACGGUAAAAUAAUGCAGCAGGUUAUUUUGCUUUGACUGAUCUUCAUUGGAGCCAAACAAAGAUGAUGAGAACUGCAAGUAGGGAGGAAGAAUAGUCUGGAGAGUGCUGUCGGGACAUCUUUCUUUGGACACAAAGGUGUGCCUCACCUGAGGUCCUAACACCAAGCUUGUCCACUCUGUGUGUCCCUCUGGCAGUGAACAUUCAUUGCUAUGGUUGGUGUUACCGUGACUUGAAGCUGUAACAGCUGUAAAAUUAUGACUAGAAAUACAUUUGAAAGUCUCGCUCAUUUGGUUAACAACAGCACGAGAGUUUAUGGCUACCCUGGUGUCAACAGCUGCACUGGAUGUGAAUAAGCUCAAUAAAUAUGAGGCUCUGACUUGCUCUCAGCUGCACUGUUACAAAUCCAAACGAUUUUCCUGCUAGCAGAGGAGUGAUUUCAUAUUAUUGUGCUAGUAACAUCCAUGUAAGUAGCAUUGAUAUUGUUAUACCAGGUAACUAGGAUUAAAAAUGUGCCUCCUAUGGUUUAGGUUCUAAUUAUGUACUCGAUUUCUAAGAGGGAUCUAGUUCCAUACAGUGUAAUUAAGAGUUAUCAGGGUUAUCUUACCUAGUGUUUCCUUGCAGAUUUUUAGAAACUUGGUAGAAACAGGCUUCCUUUUAAAUUAUUUACAAGGAUUUGCUCCAGAACUUGGAGGCAGAAAGGGACAUUACCUUUCUAACAGGGGGAAAAAAUGGCAUUACUCAGUUUUAGCAAGAAAAUGGAUUACUGAGAUGUUUCAACACUCACUGCUUCUUUUUAUCAUCCUCACGGCAUCUGGGAAAACUGGUAAGCUCAGCCACCAGAUAUGUUUCCUAUCAGAUGUCCCCAGCGUUUCCUAUGAAGUGACUGUGCUUGAAAAGACAGCCAAGAACCAUGGAUAGGCACAUUAACCCUAUCUUCAUAAGAGGGAAAUCUUGUCAGCAAAUGCAAAUAGUGCUUCUGUUAUUUUGACAGGUCCUUCAAAUGUGUUAGCAAAUUCUGAUGAAGAUUUUAUUUCAAGCAAUGUAUGGGAAUGCUGAUUCUUAGUUGUCCACAAAUCACCAUAAGCACUAAAAAUAACAUGCAAUUAAUAACCCUGUUAGUGAUUAAAAUUGACCAUACUUGCUUUCCAAACAGAAGAGAGAUUUUUUUUUUUCGGGGUAGCUCAUUUUCUGCUGCUCCAUUUAGAUGCUACAGAGCUGAAGGAGAAGAGUUCCUUUGCAGGCAUGUCUCCUGGUUUAGGCAGAGAAGCCAGGCUCUGGGGAGGAUCUUGGUGCCCUCCUGCCUCCAUGCUCAAACAGUUUGCUUUAAUAUUGACAGGGCACCUCCAAGC